This is a small nucleolar RNA of Nannospalax galili (Upper Galilee mountains blind mole rat), 98 nucleotides long. RefSeq annotates it as small nucleolar RNA U13. The record is from RefSeq and is a predicted model, not a curated record. The transcript has a single exon. Lineage: Eukaryota; Metazoa; Chordata; Mammalia; Rodentia; Spalacidae.
AUCGUCUGGUAAGGUGUGAUGAUUGGAUUUUCAUGCCAUUGUGUGAGAUGUGCCUUCCUCAGACCUUGUUAUGACAUUGGCUUGUUGCUUGUCUGUGG